Molecule: ribosomal RNA, 467 nt
Filed under: uncultured bacterium
Lineage: Bacteria
Description: bacterial SSU rRNA
Rfam family: Bacterial small subunit ribosomal RNA
Source: RNAcentral
CGCUGGCGGCAUGCCUUACACAUGCAAGUCGAACGGCAGCGCGGGGCAACCUGGCGGCGAGUGGCGAACGGGUGAGUAAUAUAUCGGAACGUACCCUGGAGUGGGGGAUAACGUAGCGAAAGUUACGCUAAUACCGCAUACGAUCUAAGGAUGAAAGUGGGGGAUCGCAAGACCUCAUGCUCCUGGAGCGGCCGAUAUCUGAUUAGCUAGUUGGUAGGGUAAAAGCCUACCAAGGCAUCGAUCAGUAGCUGGUCUGAGAGGACGACCAGCCACACUGGAACUGAGACACGGUCCAGACUCCUACGGGAGGCAGCAGUGGGGAAUUUUGGACAAUGGGCGCAAGCCUGAUCCAGCAAUGCCGCGUGAGUGAAGAAGGCCUUCGGGUUGUAAAGCUCUUUUGUCAGGGAAGAAACGACCCCUUCUAAUACAGGGGGUUAAUGACGGUACCUGAAGAAUAAGCACCGGCU